AAGGGUAUAGCUCAGUGGUAAAGCACAUACUUAGCAUGAAUGAGGUCCUGGGUUCAAUCCCCAGUACCUCUG
Molecule: transfer RNA, 72 nt
Filed under: Camelus bactrianus (Bactrian camel)
Lineage: Eukaryota; Metazoa; Chordata; Mammalia; Artiodactyla; Camelidae
Also listed under: 3 other names
Rfam family: tRNA
About the family: Transfer RNA (tRNA) molecules are approximately 80 nucleotides in length. Their secondary structure includes four short double-helical elements and three loops (D, anti-codon, and T loops).
Source: Rfam by way of RNAcentral